RNAcentral lists this ribosomal RNA (447 nucleotides) under uncultured bacterium. RNAcentral describes it as "partial 16S ribosomal RNA". It matches the Rfam family "Bacterial small subunit ribosomal RNA", at positions 29 to 523 of the family's 1533-position model. The record is from RNAcentral.
AACGAACGCUGGCGGCAGGCUUAACACAUGCAAGUCGAACGCCCCGCAAGGGGAGUGGCAGACGGGUGAGUAACGCGUGGGAAUCUACCCAGUUCUACGGAACAACUGAGGGAAACUUCAGCUAAUACCGUAUACGCCCUACGGGGGAAAGAUUUAUUGGAAUUGGAUGAGCCCGCGUAAGAUUAGCUAGUUGGUGGGGUAAAGGCCUACCAAGGCGACGAUCUUUAGCUGGUCUGAGAGGAUGAUCAGCCACACUGGGACUGAGACACGGCCCAGACUCCUACGGGAGGCAGCAGUGGGGAAUAUUGGACAAUGGGCGCAAGCCUGAUCCAGCCAUGCCGCGUGAGUGAUGAAGGCCUUAGGGCUGUAAAGCUCUUUCAGUGGGGACGAUAAUGACGGUACCCACAGAAGAAGCCCCGGCUAACUUCGUGCCAGCCGCCGCAGUAA